GCCUGCUAUCCUAGCCUGCGCCCGCUAAGCUUUUUAUGUGGAAUACCUGAUGCGGCCCAGCCUCACCCAGACUCUGCCUCCAGCGACCCCCAGUCCUGUCUGCCUCUUGACCAGGAACCAGACUCACUGGAGAGGAAAUAACAGGAACAUCUGAACAUUCUCCAUCCUGCAGGACAAGUUUUCUCUGUAACACACAACAUUAGAAAUUAGACAAGAAUCAAGUCUGUCUGUUUCCAAAGUAUGAGGGUUAAAACAACAUAACAUGUGACUAGAGUUGACUUGUUGAUAUUCUACCAACUAUGGAGCAUUUCUGGUGCUGAUUUUUAGCUGCAGUUCUGUGGUAUGCAUACAAUUUUUGUGAUUAUUGCAUCUUUCAAAUUAUUUUGAUGACAUCAGUUUUUAUUUGAAGAUAAUGAAUCAAACUGUUGAUUUCAGCUCAUUCUUUCUGUGUCUCCAUGUCAGAUUUUGAGGCGGGAUACUAAUACUGGAUGACACCACAGAAAUAAACACAUGGAUUUAUCAAAAUCUCAAAUCUCAAAAUCUCCCGCUCCCUUUCUUUGACAGCUAGUUUGACUCACUGUUUGAUCAUGAGCUCAAUACCAAGGUUUGGCCAGCAGAUGCCUCCCUUUGAAUGUAUAAAAUGCUUUGAAACCAUUCUCAGCAGUUCUUCCAAAGCGAGUGGCAAAAGCUUUGUGUCUCCAAUCACAACAUGCUUUAAAUCAUCAUACAAGGAUCUCACAAAGCUCAGCUUUCACACCACCAGAUGAAAGUAAAAUUUGAAUCAACAAAAAUUCAUGUAAUACCACCACUAACAUUACAUUUGAGUCAGAGUCUUGCACCAGGUAGCUCAAAAAAUCAUCAAUCCUUUAAUCCUUUUAUAAAACUUUAAAUCAGCCUACAGUUAAACCAGUGAUCUUUGUGCUAUUAAGCAAACAUCUGUUUAUCCUAGUUAAGGCUAACCUGACUUGUUUUUUGGUCAUGUGAAAGUAACAAAUAAAGUGUUGUUAACUGAGUGUGUAGUCUGUUGAUUAUAGGUCAGGUUUCAUGUUACAUUAACAGGUCAAGUCAGGUGCAGGUCUCUAAAACUGGACUUGUGAGUGCUUUGUUUUGAAUAAGACAACCAGAGAUUGUCUGAAGUACUUCUGAGUAACGUUGGACCAGUGGA
Long non-coding RNA from Thunnus maccoyii (southern bluefin tuna), 1165 nucleotides. RefSeq lists it as uncharacterized. NCBI's taxonomy places the organism in Eukaryota, Metazoa, Chordata, Actinopteri, Scombriformes, Scombridae. The record is from RefSeq and is a predicted model, not a curated record. The transcript has 3 exons.